Non-coding RNA from Arachis ipaensis, 837 nucleotides. NCBI's taxonomy places the organism in Eukaryota, Viridiplantae, Streptophyta, Magnoliopsida, Fabales, Fabaceae. The record is from RefSeq and is a predicted model, not a curated record.
ACAUCAAAUGCCUUUAAAGGCUUUAACCAGAGGUUAGGUGCAAAUGGGGACAGAUAACUUAAAUGAAGAUAUGUGUAGAAUUGGGAAAACUAUAAUGAAUUAAUGAGGGACUCUCGAAUGUGGGAAGUGCAUUAGUUGGUAAGUUCAUUAACUUAAAAGUCUAAAACCCUUGGUUUUUUACUUCAAUCUCACUACCACUAGAUAAACCAGUACUCUCAACUCCAACCAAACCCAUCACACACCUGUCCAUGAUAAAGAGCAUUUAAGAUGUCAAUGAAAUCCUCAUACCAUACUUACUUUCCUUAGACAGUUAAUGCGGUCAGAAUUGUAAGUUCUGAUGUUUACUGUGUUGUACUUGCUGAUGGUGAUUGGCUAAGUCACUUAACUGUGUUGCUCUCCCAAGUGCCAAAGCACACUUUCCAUCAUUUUGGAGCUUUCAAUAGUCUUGAUAGAUUUCAGCUUGCACGUAUUAUUGGGCAAUCUUGAUAGUGCUUCUUUUUUGACCAACACAAACAGAACCAGAGCCACUUUUUCCAUGAUAAAAUGUCUGAUCUUUAUAGUGUAAUUGCUGCCAAUUUUUAAUCAAUUGAUGAAAGAUUCAUUUGGAUCCUUGUGCUUUGCCUGUGAGAAAAUCAAUUAGCAAGUUCAUAAUCAAUUGAUGAAAGAUUCAUUUGGAUCUUUAUAGAAGUUCCCAGUCUUCUUGAUCUCUCCUUUUCAACUUCACUGGCAGCGUCAAUAAUUCUUUGUUCAAAAAAGCAAAAGGGGAUCAGCAAUUCUCUCAGAGGAUCAACUGCAAUAAAAGAUUUCAAUCCUGAGUAAGUCGUAAUAUCAUGACAA